CACUAUGCCUAGCCAUAAACAUAGACAGUCCACGUACCCCACUGUCCGCCCGGGUACUACGAGCAUCAGCUUAAAACCCAAAGGACUUGGCGGUGCUUUAAACCCACCUAGAGGAGCCUGUUCUAGAACCGAUAAUCCCCGUUCAACCUCACCCUUCCUUGUUCUUCCCGCCUAUAUACCACCGUCGUCAGUUUACCCUGUGAAGGUCAAACAGUAAGCACAAUCGGCAUAGCCCAAAACGUCAGGUCGAGGUGUAGCGUAUGGAAGGGGAAGAAAUGGGCUACAUUCCCUGGUACCAGGGCAUACGGAUUAUAUGCUGAAACGCAUAUCUGAAGGAGGAUUUAGCAGUAAGCAGGAAGUAGAGUGUCCUGCUGAAACCGGCUCUGAAGCGCGCACACACCGCCCGUCACUCUCCCCAAGCUAAGAUUUUUAACAUAUCUAAAACCCUAUAACUGUAAAGGGGAGGCAAGUCGUAA
This 476-nucleotide ribosomal RNA is filed under the name Apolemichthys trimaculatus (threespot angelfish). RNAcentral describes it as "partial small subunit ribosomal RNA". It matches the Rfam family "Bacterial small subunit ribosomal RNA", at positions 788 to 1491 of the family's 1533-position model. The record is from RNAcentral. Lineage: Eukaryota; Metazoa; Chordata; Actinopteri; Pomacanthidae.